RNAcentral lists this ribosomal RNA (922 nucleotides) under uncultured bacterium. RNAcentral describes it as "bacterial SSU rRNA". It matches the Rfam family "Bacterial small subunit ribosomal RNA", at positions 8 to 915 of the family's 1533-position model. The record is from RNAcentral.
AGAGUUUGAUCCUGGCUCAGGAUGAACGCUGGCGGCGUGCCUAAUACAUGCAAGUCGAGCGAACAGACGAGGAGCUUGCUCCUCUGACGUUAGCGGCGGACGGGUGAGUAACACGUGGAUAACCUACCUAUAAGACUGGGAUAACUUCGGGAAACCGGAGCUAAUACCGGAUAAUAUAUUGAACCGCAUGGUUCAAUAGUGAAAGACGGUUUUGCUGUCACUUAUAGAUGGAUCCGCGCCGCAUUAGCUAGUUGGUAAGGUAACGGCUUACCAAGGCAACGAUGCGUAGCCGACCUGAGAGGGUGAUCGGCCACACUGGAACUGAGACACGGUCCAGACUCCUACGGGAGGCAGCAGUAGGGAAUCUUCCGCAAUGGGCGAAAGCCUGACGGAGCAACGCCGCGUGAGUGAUGAAGGUCUUCGGAUCGUAAAACUCUGUUAUUAGGGAAGAACAAAUGUGUAAGUAACUAUGCACGUCUUGACGGUACCUAAUCAGAAAGCCACGGCUAACUACGUGCCAGCAGCCGCGGUAAUACGUAGGUGGCAAGCGUUAUCCGGAAUUAUUGGGCGUAAAGCGCGCGUAGGCGGUUUUUUAAGUCUGAUGUGAAAGCCCACGGCUCAACCGUGGAGGGUCAUUGGAAACUGGAAAACUUGAGUGCAGAAGAGGAAAGUGGAAUUCCAUGUGUAGCGGUGAAAUGCGCAGAGAUAUGGAGGAACACCAGUGGCGAAUGCGACUUUUUUGGUCUGUAACUGACGCUGAUGUGCGAAAACGUGGGAUCAACAGGAUUAGAUACCCUGGUAGUCCACGCCGUAACGAUGAGUGCUAAGUGUUAGGGGGUUUCCGCCCCUUACUGCUGCAGCUAACGCAUUAAGCACUCCGCUGGGAGUACGACCGCAAGGUUGAAACUCAAAGGAUUUGACG